UACGUAGGGUGCAAGCGUUAAUCGGAAUUACUGGGCGUAAAGCGUGCGCAGGCGGUGAUGUAAGACAGAUGUGAAAUCCCCGGGCUCAACCUGGGAACUGCAUUUGUGACUGCAUCGCUGGAGUGCGGCAGAGGGGGAUGGAAUUCCGCGUGUAGCAGUGAAAUGCGUAGAUAUGCGGAGGAACACCGAUGGCGAAGGCAAUCCCCUGGGCCUGCACUGACGCUCAUGCACGAAAGCGUGGGUAGCAAACAGG
Molecule: ribosomal RNA, 253 nt
Filed under: uncultured bacterium
Lineage: Bacteria
Description: partial 16S ribosomal RNA
Rfam family: Bacterial small subunit ribosomal RNA
Source: RNAcentral